AACGAACGCUGGCGGCAGGCUCAACACAUGCAAGUCGAACGCCCCGCAAGGGGAGUGGCAAACGGGUGCGUAAUGUAUAGAAAUCUGCCUUAUAGUGGGGGACAACAGUUGGAAACGACUGCUAAUACCCCAUAAUACCAUUUAUGGGAAAGUCGCAAGACGCUAUUUGAUGAGUCUAUACCUGAUUAGCUUGUUGGUGGGGUAAAGGCCUACCAAGGCGAUGAUCGGUAGCUGAUCUGAGAGGAUGAUCGGCCACACUGGGACUGAGAUACGGCCCAGACUCCUAUGGGAGGCAGCAGUGGGGAAUAUUGGGCAAUGGACGAAAGUCUGACCCAGCAACGCCGCGUGGUGAAUGAAGGCCUUAGGGUUGUAAACACCUUUUAUUAGGGAAGAUAGUGACGGUACCUAAUGAAUAAGCAUCGGCUAACUUCGUGCCAGCCGCCGCCGUAA
RNAcentral lists this ribosomal RNA (450 nucleotides) under uncultured bacterium. RNAcentral's name for it is "partial 16S ribosomal RNA". It matches the Rfam family "Bacterial small subunit ribosomal RNA", at positions 29 to 523 of the family's 1533-position model. The record is from RNAcentral.